This 57-nucleotide microRNA precursor is filed under the name Taeniopygia guttata (zebra finch). RNAcentral's name for it is "Tgu-Mir-9619_pre stem-loop". The record is from RNAcentral. Lineage: Eukaryota; Metazoa; Chordata; Aves; Passeriformes; Estrildidae.
UAUUCCUUAAGUAGACAAAGAUGAUUCUUUCCCAGUUUUGCCUGCUUAAGGGAUAGA